Molecule: transfer RNA, 97 nt
Filed under: Aquabacterium sp. CECT 9606
Lineage: Bacteria; Pseudomonadati; Pseudomonadota; Betaproteobacteria; Burkholderiales; Sphaerotilaceae
Description: tRNA-Thr
Source: RNAcentral
GUGGGCCUUGGGCGCCGGCUUCAACGCCGCCACCUGGUGCGUGGCCGCCGUGCUCUUUUAUGACUACGGUGGAUCGUUCGAGCGCACCGCGCUCAUG